GCCACAGAAGCAGAAGUAUCUGUGGAGGUACCAGAUUCACCUGUUACAGAUGAAGUUUCUACUGAAUCUCCACAGAAAAAAAUCUUGAACCUCCAUAUCAUUGGUCGAUUCAUUGGUCAGUUCCUCAACAACUGUUGCCAACAAGGUAGCACUGAUACAGACAUGGACACCGGAUACGACACGGACACUAUAAAUUCAGAUGCUAAAAGUUUGGUUUCUGAAGAAGACUUAGAUGCUGUAAAUUCAAUUAUUGAAGACCUCAACAACUGUUGCCAACAAGGUAGCACGGAUACGGACAUGGACACCGGAUACAACACAGACACUGUAAAUUCAGAUGCUGAAAGUUUGGUUUUUGAAGAGGACUUAGAUGCUGUAAAUUCA
RNAcentral lists this long non-coding RNA (381 nucleotides) under Medicago truncatula (barrel medic). Its description in RNAcentral is "long non-coding RNA (MTRU_LNC008320)". Lineage: Eukaryota; Viridiplantae; Streptophyta; Magnoliopsida; Fabales; Fabaceae. The record is from RNAcentral.